Molecule: long non-coding RNA, 1904 nt
Filed under: Triticum aestivum (bread wheat)
Lineage: Eukaryota; Viridiplantae; Streptophyta; Magnoliopsida; Poales; Poaceae
Description: long non-coding RNA (TAES_LNC011757)
Source: RNAcentral
GGAAAUUCUUUUAUAAUGCUAGCUCGUAGAGCAACAUCUAGCUGCUUCUAGUAAUGCACCACAACAUCUAGUAGUAGCAGCUCGUUAAAAAAAGCAGUAGGGACAGCACCGAUUCCCAGAAUUCAUCGUCUCACCGCCGAGUAGAUGCCCCUUCUCUUGUCCACACAUUGCUAUUCCUCCACAAGCCCACAUCACUUAGGCUCUGUUCGGUUUGCAGGAUCAGAAAACAUGGGAACAAAAAAAUGUAAAGGAAUAGGGAAAACAAGCACAUAUGAAACUGAGGAAUUUUAAACAGAGAAAUAGUCAGGAGUGAACCGUUCGGCGGUGAUCAAAAGAAGCUGCACAUCACCUCAGUUGUGACCCGUACCUUGGGUGUUUUUUAUUUGGCUGCAGACUUGACUCUCUCACACUCCAUGCCAUAUAAUGAAUAUUUUAUUGAAUUAGAUGUCAGAACCAGUGUGUUGCCUCGGCCAACCGCGAUAAACAAGAGGUCUGACUGGAUGUUUCUUUUCCCGUGAAAUCUGUAGGAAUCACACAGGAAUCGAGACAUUCCAAAGUUUUACUGCUCAUUUUUCCUUCACUCCGAACGCACCAAAGGUAGAAAAUAGCACAGGAUCAGAUUCCUUUGAGUUUUCCUCCGGACCGAACGCAGCCUUAGUGCUACUUCGCCUCCAUCUUCCUUCUUCUGCUACCUCAACACCCAGCUCUGCUCCUACUCUUCCUCAGCUCCCUCCUACUAACGCCUGGUCGUGCUCCACUCCCAGCUAUGACGGCCACAUGAGCUCCACCCGCACCAACACGAGACGACGAAGCUGACGUCCCGUGCUCCGUAUACCUUCGUCUGCUCAUGAUUCGACCUCCUAUUACUCCACAACGACACCAACCCAUACUCCCUUCCCCUCCACAGCCAAGCAACCGCUGCAUCAGGCACGGGUACGCAUGCCGACUGCCUGAUCUGGUAUGGAUGCGCGCGGUAGCUCCUCCCACCCCUGAUCUUUCCUUGGCAAGCUCACAUCUCCACCUGGUCCGCAACAGGAGACGCCGCGCUGGGUGUUGUAGCUACGGAGGUCAUCGAUUGGGCGAAGGACGCCCAGUGGCAGUGGGAAGUGACCCGAGGCGAGGUGGAGUCAGCAAGGCGGCAGAGGUUGGGCCAAAAAUCUCUUUUCUAUGUUCUCCGCGUACACAAAACUGAUUAUCUCCUUCUCGUAUCCUGCAGUGGCGAGAUUCGGGAUUGAUGGAUCCGACUCCCGACGCUGCGAGCCCGUGUUGCCCAGAUCUUGACGACGGCGAGCCGAGGUUGCCUACGGGCGGCGGGCGGCGCUCCCGUGGCGAGGAUGGCGGGGCCUGGUCGGAUCCGGGCGGAUCUGGCCGGGAUGGAUCUAUUUCUGGCGGAUUUGGCUUGGAGGCAGCCGGAUCUGGCGAGAUUGAGGGCCGAUGGCGCCAUGGUCCUCCUGGAGAUCCCUGCUCACCGAGAAAGAGAGACAGAGGUGAGAGGAGAUCAAGAUGAAGGAGGAGAUGGGCGAGGCGGCGGAGCGGCCAGAGCUCCGGCGGCGAGGCACGGUGGAGGUGUGGGGUCGCCGGCGAGGUGGCUUGCGGGUGCGAGGGGAGCUGGGCGAGGCGGCGGAGCAGCCGGAGCUCCGGCGGCGGGGCACGGUGGAGGUGUGGGGUCGCCGGCGAGGUGGCUUGCGGGUGCGAGGGGAGCUCUGGUAGGAGGAAGCUGCGGGAGGCGGAGCGGUCCAGUUCGGGCUGGAUUUCUAGGGUUAUUUAUGUAAAAGUGAAAGUUUUCUUAGAAUCCACUAAAGAAAAGACUACGGGUUCAAUUUUGAAAAAGUACAAGGACUUUUCUGCAAAAUCACCGACGACGUACGACCAGAAACGAUCGGUGCUUUAUUAGUAGGUAGAGA